GGACUUCAGGCAUCUAUAGAUUUGUAUAUCGAAGAUGAUCAUUUUGGUCAACUUUUAUCAACAUUUAUUAAAAGCAGCAAAAUAGCACAUGGCCUAUCCACACAGCAACUUGGUUUUUAACUAACGACCAGAUUGACACAUCCAUACACAACCUGCCUUACGGCCACGAUUAUAUGAAUGCAUUCUGGGACCUCCUACAUGGACUUCUGGGUAGUUUCCAACCACAAACUAUUGCACUGAGGAAUGGAUUUAGAGGACUGAAUUCAAUGGCUUUCUCCCAGUCUAGAGAAGAUCCCUCAAGCAUUGUACUGGUUCAACUGGACGAAGGCCCAGAUCAUUGCAGAUGGAUCACACCAGGUCGAGGCUUUGGCAGACCUGCACCAGAAACCUGCCCUUGAUGAGCCAGUCGUCGAGAUACGGGAAGAUCUGGACCUCCCGCAACGUCCCAGAAUGUUUGCAGGAUGUGUGUGCAUCACUGAGAUAUGAAAAUAGUAAACCACAUUCCAGAAGAAUAUUGUUCUGUCUACAAAUUUUUGGAACACUAAAAUGCUGCACAACGGAGGAGACAUUAUGAAAUACUACAUGCAAAAUAAAAAAAAUGUAGUGCAAAGAUCAACAUCUGCAGGAUUCAAGGUAAGGACUUGCUUUAGUUUUACCAUUCAGACAUACUGUUACUUGGAAUUAUUGGAAUUAAUGAAAUCAUACAGGAUUUUAGUAGUCAUGA
Chelonia mydas (Green sea turtle) is the source of this 724-nucleotide long non-coding RNA. RefSeq lists it as uncharacterized. NCBI's taxonomy places the organism in Eukaryota, Metazoa, Chordata, Testudines, Cheloniidae. The transcript is spliced from 4 exons. The record is from RefSeq and is a predicted model, not a curated record.